CCCUGUGAAGUGGGGUUGUGAUCCUCAGUGGACUUUUUGGCUUGGAUCACAGGGGCCUGGCACACAGUGGGCAACAGUGUGUGUGUGUGUCUGUCUGUCUGUCUGUCUCCAUGUCCUUCCUGGCCCUGUCCAGUCAUUGAGGAGAGUCUGCUACUGCCUAUCUACACGCCUCCACGGUGUGAGGGCACCGUGAGGAGGUCACACACAGUCUGAGGCCCGACAGGAGAAAGAGGGAGGUGGCGUCUUCUUGGCUGAGCUGGAAUCGUCCAGAGAAUGUCCCCGCAUAUAUGCCACAUGUGUGAAAGUGUGUGUGUGUGUGUGUUGGCGUGAGUAUGUAUUGUGUUGGUGUGUACAGGUUGUAUGCAUCUGUUCGUAAGUACACAUGUGCACACAUAUGUUAGUGUAUAUGUGUGCAUGCGUUCACAAGUGUGUGUGCAUGUGUUGUGUACAAUGUGUUUGUGUAUACGUGUAUGUGUGCAUGUGUUAGUGCUUGCAUGUGUGUGUGUGUGUACGCAUGCACGCAUCCCUGUGCACAUCUAUGUGUGUGUGUGUGCUUGUGCGUGUGCCUUCGUGGGUAUAUAAAGUGGGCCAGGAGGAAGAGGAGAGAGGCAGCCGCUGGAUGUUUGGUUUCCUUCAAUGACCCAGUGACUCAGGAAAGUCCUCUGGCACAUAUCUCGGGAGCCAGGGAGCAGGACCUGACUCUGGUGGUCCUGAAAAGCCACGACAGAUGCUCGCGGCAGCCCCCGCGCUGGCAGCGGGGAGACAACACCCACCUCGGGGCCGGAGGAGACCAGAAGGCCGUCAGCGCGGAACAUCUGGGCACAUCUCAAAUGUGCGGCUUCCUGUAGGGUCGCCUUGGCCCGGAAACCACAGGAAUCUGCCCUCGCGCUGUGGGGGAGAGCGAGUUUCCAGGCUCUGAGCACUUAUCACACGUCGUUUUGUGUGUCUGCCUCUGGGUGGCUUCCCCUGCACUGUCCCACGGCGUCACAGGGCCAGGGACACGGCUGGGGCCUGAUCCACGCUUGAACAGGGGUUGCCAGACUCUAUCCAAAACCUCACGGCGCUUUCCAAGUUCCAGCAUCGCCUGGCUGCUCCCGGCAGCUUCCAGUCUUGCAUUUCUCCUGCUGCCAGUGAUUCAGACCAAAGCCUUCCACGUGCCCCCUGCCUCCCCCGACCCCAUCAGCUGACUUCCCUUCUCACUGGUACCCGCGCCCGUUUCCUCCUCCCUCCACCCACAUACCCCCCCCCCCCCNNNNNNNNNNNNCCCCCCCCCCCAGGACCCGUUUACCUUCGGAAGCUGCUCCCCCCGGUUCCUCUUUUAGAGGCUACGAGCGUGCUGUGUGUUUGGCCUCUGGCUCACGGAGGACCAGAAAAACAAAAUUUAUCAUCUGACUGUCCUAUUUUUUUUUUUUUCUUUCUUUCCAUUUUAUUUCCCCCUAAGAAUGAAGCCAGCACUUCGCCGCCAUGCUCCGAGGGAGCAUCAGACAUGGCAGGCCACAGGCAAAAGCGUCUCCUCCUCCUUAGAGAGAAGGAAUGCAGCCGUUAACAAUAAAAAAAAAAAAAAAAAAAAAAAAAAAAAAAAANGAUUUAUGGAGGCCUUGGGCUUAUGAGCCGUCUCACAUCCGUUAGCCAGCGUGACACAGCCAUCCAGGGGGGCGAAGCUGGAGUCCCAGCUCCAUCUGAGAGACAGAGAAACUGGCUCCGGAGCACAGGUCCUGGGACCCGGCUAAGCCCCCAGCUGCCCAAGCUGGUGAAAUUUCCUUGCAUAUGUAUGUAUGAACCGGGCUGAUUUGCUCAAUGAAAACAUUAAAAAUACAUGGUUUGUU
RNAcentral lists this long non-coding RNA (1826 nucleotides) under Sus scrofa (pig). RNAcentral's name for it is "lncRNA (ENSSSCG00065055878.1)". The record is from RNAcentral. Lineage: Eukaryota; Metazoa; Chordata; Mammalia; Artiodactyla; Suidae.